UUCCAGUUUCUUCAACAGGCGGUCUUUUGGCUGCGGUACACAAGCGAGAAUCUUCAUCAUAACCAUCGGGACAAUCGGGAGCUCCAUCACAUAAGUAUUGUAUCGAGAUACAGUUGCCAUCUCCAGGACACUUGAAAGGAUACUAGAGGCCCUUUGGAGUUCAGUUGGAUUCGCUGUUGAGGGGUAUUUUCACAAAGAAGAAAAAUAACCUAACAUACCUAUUCCGGAAAAAUCUCUGUAAAGAUCACACAAUACGCACGUGACAUUCCUCCCCGAACAUGAAGGACAACUGCAUCAAUAAAUUUUUUUGGAAAACAACACCUAUAAGUAAUGGAGCAUGGAUGAUGUUCAGAGACUAAAUGAUGUGCCCGAUCAAUGGAUAGUUCAGAGGGAAACCAGGAAAAUGCUGAUUAAUUGAGAAGAAAAUAUAAUUAGGAAGAUGAGGAUGUGAUAAAAUUUGAUCUAAUGGCACUCAUUGAAUUGGAGGAGAAGCAAUGCAGCAAUGGCCCCCACUGUUUGGUGUAUAGCUGAAGAGGACAAUGAACACGCGGAGAAGGAAAAUGGACCAAAUUUUUUGAAUACGAUAUGUUAUUUUUUGUGUAAUUUUCUUGAAUUGAUUUGAAUAAACUUUUGAAAAUUUCAAAUUGCUUUCUUU
Long non-coding RNA from Coccinella septempunctata (seven-spotted ladybird), 655 nucleotides. RefSeq lists it as uncharacterized. The transcript is spliced from 5 exons. NCBI's taxonomy places the organism in Eukaryota, Metazoa, Arthropoda, Insecta, Coleoptera, Coccinellidae. The record is from RefSeq and is a predicted model, not a curated record.